AUGAAUUGGGUUCGCCAAAGGCCUGGCAAGACGCUGGAAUGGCUGGCAGGGAUCUUCAACGAUGGAAGUUACAUCGCCUAUGCACCAUCAGUGCGGGGCCAGUUCUCGAUCUCCAGGGACAACGGGCAGAGUUUGGUGACGUUGACCAUGAACAGUCUCAAGGACGAGGAUUCCGCCGUUUAUUUCUGCGCCAAAGCCGUGACCCUGCUGGAGUCCGGGGGUGACCUCCAGCCCCCCGGGGCCACCUUGGCCCUUGUUUACCGCGGCUCUGGAUUCAGUUUUGGGGGUUACGAAAUGAGAUGGGUCCGGCAGAGCUUCGGGAAGGGGCUUGAAUUCGUGGCACUGAUCAGCGGCGAUGGAGGUUACACCUUCUAUGGGGCCUCGGUCAAGGGCCGGUUCUGGAUCUCCAGGGACAACGGGCAGAGCUCGGUGACGCUGACCAUGAACAGCCUCAAGGACGAGGAUUCCGCCGUUUAUUUCUGCGCCAAAGAUUACGGCAAUUACUACGGUGCUGCUGCUACUGCUGCUGCAGAUUUCCUCUCCCUUCCCUCGUGGCUGUUGCCCUGA
Non-coding RNA from Catharus ustulatus (Swainson's thrush), 567 nucleotides. NCBI's taxonomy places the organism in Eukaryota, Metazoa, Chordata, Aves, Passeriformes, Turdidae. The record is from the annotation of a RefSeq genome assembly.